AGACACUAUCUAAGUAGUUUUAUUUUCUAUUCCUCAAGAGCUUAAAGGAAAGAUUUCAUCCUACUUGUCUACAUUCAGCUGUGUUUAUAUGUGCCACUAAAUGGUUUUAUUCAGAUUGAUUCAGGCGGGGCCAUAAAAUCAAUGCAUUGCCACCUAGUCGAUCUGAUUGGGUUGUUAAAACAAGUGAACUAAUCAGACCACUUCUUAAAAAUCAGAUCACAUCACCUGUGUGUGAUUUGCCUGUCCCCUGGGCAACUGGCGUGGUAAUCAGAAAUCAAGCCCAAAUAAACUCAGCCAAAUGCUUCAUGUAGUUCUGGCCCAAGCUAGCCCCAUCCUUACAGGUAAGGGACAAGAAACAGCUCAAUGUUUGACCAGUUGCACGCACAAUCUGAGUGGCACCCCAUGCACCCCAUUGGGUUGGAAAUGGCAGUGGACUCUGGGCAUGUUCAUGCCUUUCAACAGGUAGUAGAGUCUUUUGUUUUACGGGAUUAAGGAGCAGUCUGAGGCAGCAGCAAUCAAGACAAAGCAGGUAUAAAGCCAUUAGGGAGCGGAAAGGAGUGAGCUGUUGCUUCUCAUUUCACCCCCAAAAUGGGGAGCUGGAUUUGCAAGCAGACCCCCGUGCAGAGUGGGCCUCAUCACUACUUCCUGGCUUCUCCAGGGCCUCAGUCAAAAGAAAGUCUGCAUCUAGCUUCCUCAUUGGCUGACAGUCAUGAUCAAAGGGGUCAUGAUCAAGAGGAGCCAAGUGAUCACACCAUUAGCAAGAGGAGUCUCCAACUUGGGCUUUAGGUUCUGAUUCAUAGUUUUUAAAAGACCCUGGCUUGUGGCCUAAGUGGAUACAGUCAGUGUUUCUCCAUCAAAAAAUUGUUCUUGCUGGUGUCCUGGAUUUUUGCAGAACUGAGGAAAUUAACCAAUUGCCUUUAUCUAUUUAUAUCAUGGUUGUGGCCAUAUUAGUCCAUGAGAAUAAAAUCGCCACUACCAAAACAUGGACUGGAUAAUAGCAUUAUUUGGAGAGAAAGUCCCAAAUUAUUAGAUAGUAAUAUUAAUUAUAAUUUUGACAUUAAAACAGAAAACCAUUCUGCAUUGUUUGUGAGAUGAUGUACUGGGGUGCAGUUAGAUUUCUGUGUGUUUAUAGAGGAAGCCCUGGCCUGUCCAGGAUCCAGCAGCUCAAAGCCAUUUGCUUUGUCUUCAGGCCACUGGCCUGGGAUUCAUAGUUGCAGCAACUCACCAGACAGGAAAGGGUGACAAAACAAAACGAGAGUAGUGACACUGGGUGACUAUGAAUACAUUUAAGAAGGUAAAUAAAGCCAGACAUGGUAGCUUAGGUCUAUAAUCCAAGUGCUUUGGGAGGUCCAGGAGGGAGGAUUGCUUGAGGCCAGGAAUUCAAGACAGGUCUGGACUACUUAGCAAUACCCCAUCUGUACGAAAAAUAAAUUUUAAAAAAGAAGGUACAUAAGACAAUAUGGAAGAUAUUGGGGAAAGUCUACACUUGAUAGCCAGUGGCAUCAUGAUAUGAGUUAUUUAUGUUCUAGACUGGGAUGAAUGUACUCCAAAUUUACCCCUUAAACAUCUUCUUGUACCAUUUUUGAUGGCUUAUGAAAACAUAAUUGAAAAUAAUUAAAAUGUAAACAUUCAUUGUGUUUAGGAAUAUUCUUAGUUCCCAUUUCCUCCUUCCUCAAUCCUUUCCCUCCUGCUAGCAUGUGCACGCACACACACACACACACACACACACACACACCAGAGCAGGAAAGAGAAACUUGCUCAUACUUGCAUACAAUUUUAAGUUUAAAUCAAGCCAAUGGCAGUCAAAUGGAGGCCACGUGUUUUCUCUCAGGUACUAAAAUGAUACAAAAUAAGCUAAUUUUCUUCAGGCAACAGGACACCACAGGAGCCCCAAACCUGUGGCCUUUCCCUUGGAAACUCAUGUCUUAGAAGCUGCCUGAGCUCCUGUCCACUGCACGAGCUGAUUCCUUUCUUUGCAUUCCUCUAAGGCACCUUACUCCUAAGGUCCAGGCAAUGUUUUGAUAGGAAGUGCCCCUGCGAGCAAGUCUUACCAGCCACUCAGAGGAUGGAACUUCCCUUUGUUUCUUGGCCACCACAAGUGAUGAAUGAAAGCCCCUGUCAUCGUGUAGUUUAAUACUGGCAUUGCUCUUGGGAGCCAAGGAGUCCUAGAUGACUGAAUUCUGCUGUGAGGUCUGUAGCUCAGGGAGAAGAUGAGACAAGUGGACUUGGAAAGAACAAUCUUCCUCGAAAAAGUCCUCAGGGUGCAAAGAAGAGAAAUGCAAUAAAAUGAUAAUGAGGAGGCCCAGGACCCGCACAAGGGCACCACUGCAAGUAGAUACUUCGAGGAAACUUCCUGAUGCUUGUCCAGCCCUUGGUGGUGGUGCCCGGCAGCCCGUAUUCUUAUCCCAAAGCAAUAUGUGUGGAGACAGCCCAGCAAAAGCUGAGAGAUUGUGUGUCCAGAGACAUGUUCCAGGAAUGGAAACAGAGAGUGGAGGAGUUUCUUCUCUCCUCCCGUCUCCCGCUAGAGUGGGCGGUCCCUUUGGUGUCAUCGCACUGUCUUCAUAGCCUACUGCGCUCCAGGCCUGUGCGCCCAUGGCGGUCUUGGACCACGAGUGAGCCAUGAGCCCUCCCAAGCCCCAAGGCCAGGUCUGAAGCGGGCUGAUGUGUGCCCCUGGCUUUGUUGCCCAGAUCCUCACCACAAUCCCAGCAUCCCACCACUCUACUGCGAGAAGAGACAAGGGAGGAGAUGCACACCUCAGAGAAGGAGCAGAUUUCAUUCAAAGUCCGAGGGAGGCCAGGGCUCCUGGUCCUGGACUUCGUGUCAAUUGGUUCUUCCUGGAAAAGACAAUUGGAGGCACCUUCACCUUGUUUUUACUAUAUGGGUCGCGUGGCAGUGCUGGAGAAAAAGACAAUCCCCAAAGAGCACAUUGUCCUAAAGGAAGAGUCAACACCUGCUAACAGUUUAUCUUGUCAUACUAAGCCUCAAGCCCUGAGCACCAUUGCUCAGCUGCACUCACGGUCUUGGUACUGUUGCCUGGUGUAACUACACAACCUCUGGGCUGAUGACGCAAAAACACGUGAUAUGUAAUAGCUCAUUUAAUUCUCGCAACUGUAAUUAUCCCCAUUUCAUGACUUCCAUUUGACGGAAAGAUUAAGCGGCUAAUCCUCCAACACAAUUUAAGUGGCUUGUUCCAUAACUAGUGAAGAGAUUGAAAAUUUGAACUCCUCUGCCGAGCUCCGGAACCUGUGCUCCUAAGGGAGGAAUGGGCUGGAGCUCCCCACAGUGGUCAUCAUGUAAACCCAACACUUCCUACAUUCAUUGAUUUCUGCCUAAUUUACAUUCCUCUUUUGUUAGUUGCUCACAAGUCCCUCCUCCAUCCUCUUCUUCCCAAGCCCUGGUCAUUAAAAUCAAAGUCUUAAAUCUCAGAUACCACUCUCCCUGCACCUAGGCCCUUAUUUUCAUCCGUAUCCAGAGAGUCUUAACCUCUUGUCUUACGUUUGUCUAACUUGAACCUGUACGACCUAUUCCUUGAGACUCUAUAUUUUAAAAACCUGCACAGAUCUUAUCAAAAAAUUAUUUGUACCUCUGCUUCUACCAUUAGGUGACCAUUGCCUUUUCUCUGAAGACACCAUUUCUCUUGUAAUCUUCUCAACGUAUCUUUCUCUUAUUCCUGUCCCUUAACUGAACGAAAGUGGGAUCGGCUUUUCCGUUCUCUCCAGUACUUCUCUCGACCACUGUUUUGUGAUUAUUAUCCAAGAGCUUUGCUGGUGUUGGACUCCAUAUAGCACUGUUUCUAACACUUUCUUGCUUUCCUGAGUGACCCCAGCAUCUGGCUCACAGCCUUCCCUUUCCUUGCUAAAGUCCGAGCGACUCCGACAUCAAAAUUGAUCAUCUUCCCAACUGUGUACUCAGGCAGUGUUCAAGUUCCACUUCCCGAGGGAGUUCUGUCUUGCUUCCAUGGAGCUGUCCACCUGGUUGUCUCAUUUUUAAACAGCUUUAUUAAGAAAUCAUCGACAUACAAAAAUGUAUACAUUUAAGAUGUGCAACUUGAUGUUUUAGUAUACGUUAUUAAAUUAUCACCACAAUCAAGCUAAUUAAACAUAUCCAUUACCUCUGCAUAGUUGCAAUUGUUUAUGUGCGUGUGUGUGUGUGUGUGUGUGUGUAGUGAGAAGAUUUAAGAUGUGUCCUCUCAGCAAAUUACUAGUAUACAAUACAGUUUUGUUAAUUAACAUGACCAUGCUGUACAUAAGGUCUCUAGAAAUUAUUCAUAUUUCAUAACUGAAUCUUUGUAUCUUUUGGCCAGUAUCACCCUAUUUCUUCCUUGACCAGGCCCUGGAAACCACUAUCCUACUAUCUGCUUCUAUAAAUUUGACUAUUUUCAAUUUCACAUAUAAAUGAGAUCAUGCAGGAUUUCUGUUUCUGUGUCUUGUUUGUUUCACCUAGCAUAAUGUCUUCCAGCUUCAUCAUGUUGUGGCUAACA
Molecule: long non-coding RNA, 4481 nt
Filed under: Homo sapiens (human)
Lineage: Eukaryota; Metazoa; Chordata; Mammalia; Primates; Hominidae
Description: HSALNT0346164
Source: RNAcentral